RNAcentral lists this ribosomal RNA (484 nucleotides) under uncultured bacterium. Its description in RNAcentral is "partial 16S ribosomal RNA". It matches the Rfam family "Bacterial small subunit ribosomal RNA", at positions 30 to 507 of the family's 1533-position model. The record is from RNAcentral.
AUUGAACGCUGGCGGCAGGCCUAACACAUGCAAGUCGAGCGGAUGAAGGGAGCUUGCUCCUGGAUUCAGCGGCGGACGGGUGAGUAAUGCCUAGGAAUCUGCCUGGUAGUGGGGGAUAACGUCCGGAAACGGGCGCUAAUACCGCAUACGUCCUGAGGGAGAAAGUGGGGGAUCUUCGGACCUCACGCUAUCAGAUGAGCCUAGGUCGGAUUAGCUAGUUGGUGGGGUAAAGGCCUACCAAGGCGACGUUCCGUCACUGGUCUGAGAGGAUGAUCAGUCACAUUGGGACGGAGACACGGUCCAGACUCCUACGGGAGGCAGCAGUGGGGAAUAUUGGGCAGUGGGCGAAAGCCUGAUCCAGCCGUGCCGCGUGUGUGAAGAAGGUCUUCGGAUUGUAAAGCACUUUAAGUUGGGAGGAAGGGCAGUAAGUUAAUACCUUGCUGUUUUGACGUUACCAACAGAAUAAGCACCGGCUAACUUCGUG